Molecule: ribosomal RNA, 447 nt
Filed under: uncultured bacterium
Lineage: Bacteria
Description: partial 16S ribosomal RNA
Rfam family: Bacterial small subunit ribosomal RNA
Source: RNAcentral
CCCAGACUCCUACGGGAGGCAGCAGUGGGGGAUAUUGCACAAUGGGGGGAACCCUGAUGCAGCGACGCCGCGUGGGUGAAGGAGCGUUUCGGCGCGUAAAGCCCUAUCGACAGGGAAGAAGGAGGACGGUACCUGACUAAGAAGCCCCGGCUAACUACGUGCCAGCAGCCGCGGUAAUACGUAGGGGGCAAGCGUUAUCCGGAGUUACUGGGUGUAAAGGGGGCGCAGACGGCAGCGCAAGCCAGGAGUGAAAGCCCGGGGCCCAACCCCGGGACUGCUCUUGGAACUGCGCGGCUGGAGUGCAGGAGGGGCAGGCGGAAUUCCUGGUGUAGCGGUGAAAUGCGUAGAUAUCAGGAGGAACACCGGUGGCGAAGGCGGCCUGCUGGACUGCGACUGACGUUGAGGCCCGAAAGCGUGGGGAGCAAACAGGAUUAGAUACCCGCGUAC